This 1238-nucleotide ribosomal RNA is filed under the name Dechloromonas sp. RNAcentral's name for it is "partial 23S ribosomal RNA". It matches the Rfam family "Bacterial large subunit ribosomal RNA", at positions 1699 to 2925 of the family's 2925-position model. The record is from RNAcentral. Lineage: Bacteria; Pseudomonadati; Pseudomonadota; Betaproteobacteria; Rhodocyclales; Azonexaceae.
CUCAGGAGAAGGAACUCGGCAAAUUGACACCGUAACUUCGGAAGAAGGUGUGCCUCUAGUAUGUGUAGAGAUUUACUCUCGAAGCAGAAUGAGGCCGCAGAGAAUCGGUGGCUGCAACUGUUUAUUAAAAACACAGCACUCUGCAAAGACGAAAGUCGACGUAUAGGGUGUGACUCCUGCCCGGUGCUGGAAGAUUAAAUGAUGGGGUGCAAGCUCUUGAUUGAAGUCCCAGUAAACGGCGGCCGUAACUAUAACGGUCCUAAGGUAGCGAAAUUCCUUGUCGGGUAAGUUCCGACCUGCACGAAUGGAGUAAUGAUGGCCACACUGUCUCCUCCAGAGACUCAGCGAAGUUGAAAUGUUUGUGAUGAUGCAAUCUCCCCGCGGAAAGACGGAAAGACCCCAUGAACCUUUACUGUAGCUUUGUAUUGGACUUUGAACAGAUCUGUGUAGGAUAGGUGGGAGGCUUUGAAGCGGUGCCGCUAGGUGUCGUGGAGCCAACGUUGAAAUACCACCCUGGUGUGUUUGAGGUUCUAACCUUGGCCCGUUAUCCGGGUUGGGGACAGUGUAUGGUGGGCAGUUUGACUGGGGCGGUCUCCUCCCAAAGUGUAACGGAGGAGUUCGAAGGUACGCUAGUUACGGUCGGACAUCGUGCUAAUAGUGCAAUGGCAUAAGCGUGCUUAACUGCGAGACUGACAAGUCGAGCAGAUACGAAAGUAGGACAUAGUGAUCCGGUGGUUCUGUAUGGAAGGGCCAUCGCUCAACGGAUAAAAGGUACUCCGGGGAUAACAGGCUGAUACCGCCCAAGAGUUCAUAUCGACGGCGGUGUUUGGCACCUCGAUGUCGGCUCAUCUCAUCCUGGGGCUGUAGCCGGUCCCAAGGGUAUGGCUGUUCGCCAUUUAAAGAGGUACGUGAGCUGGGUUUAAAACGUCGUGAGACAGUUUGGUCCCUAUCUUCCGUGGGCGCUGCAGAUUUGAGGAAGCCUGCUCCUAGUACGAGAGGACCGGAGUGGACACACCUCUGGUGUAUCGGUUGUCACGCCAGUGGCAUUGCCGAGUAGCUAAGUGUGGAAGAGAUAACCGCUGAAAGCAUCUAAGCGGGAAACUCGUCUCAAGAUGAGUCUUGCCGGGGCCUUGAGCCCCCUGAAGGGUCGUUGUAGACCACGACGUUGAUAGGUUGGGUGUGGAAGCGCAGUAAUGCGUUAAGCUAACCAAUACUAAUUGCCCGUGAGGCUUGACCCU